RNAcentral lists this ribosomal RNA (253 nucleotides) under uncultured bacterium. RNAcentral describes it as "partial 16S ribosomal RNA". It matches the Rfam family "Bacterial small subunit ribosomal RNA", at positions 524 to 776 of the family's 1533-position model. The record is from RNAcentral.
UACGUAGGGGGCAAGCGUUGUCCGGAAUCACUGGGCGUAAAGGGCGUGUAGGCGGUCCGUUAAGUCUGAUGUGAAAGCCCGGGGCUCACCCCCGGAAGUGCAUUGGAAACUGGCGGACUCGAGUCCCGGAGAGGAGAGUGGAAUUCCUGGUGUAGCGGUGAAAUGCGUAGAUAUCAGGAGGAACACCGGUGGCGAAGGCGGCUCUCUGGACGGUGACUGACGCUGAGACGCGAAAGCGUGGGGAGCAAACAGG